RNAcentral lists this ribosomal RNA (254 nucleotides) under uncultured bacterium. Its description in RNAcentral is "partial 16S ribosomal RNA". It matches the Rfam family "Bacterial small subunit ribosomal RNA", at positions 524 to 776 of the family's 1533-position model. The record is from RNAcentral.
UACGGGAGAUCCAAGCGUUAUCCGGAAUUACUGGGCGUAAAGAGUUGCGUAGGUGGCAGAUAAAGCGAACAGUGAAAGGUCCCGGCUCAACCGGGGAUACAUCGUUCGAACUCAUCAGCUAGAGCACAGCAGAGGUACCUGGAAUUCCCAGUGUAGGAGUGAAAUCCGUAGAUAUUGGGAGGAACGCCGAUGGCGUAGGCAGGGUACUGGGCUGUCGCUGACACUGAGGCACGAAAGCGUGGGGAGCGAACGGG